Molecule: unclassified non-coding RNA, 343 nt
Filed under: soil metagenome
Description: partial contains 5.8S ribosomal RNA, internal transcribed spacer 2, and large subunit ribosomal RNA
Rfam family: 5.8S ribosomal RNA (bases 1-120)
Source: RNAcentral
GAUGAAGAACGCAGCGAAAUGCGAUAAGUAAUGUGAAUUGCAGAAUCCAGUGAAUCAUCGAAUCUUUGAACGCACAUUGCGCCCGCCAGCAUUCUGGCGGGCAUGCCUGUUCGAGCGUCAUUUCAACCCUCGACCUCCCUUUGGGGAAGUCGGCGUUGGGGACCGGCAGCACACCGCCGGCCCUGAAAUGGAGUGGCGGCCCGUCCGCGGCGACCUCUGCGUAAUAAUCCAACUCGCACCGGAACCCCGACGCGGCCACGCCGUAAAACACCCAACUUCUGAACGUUGACCUCGAAUCAGGUAGGACUACCCGCUGAACUUAAGCAUAUCAAUAAGCGGAGGA